GUGAAGCAAAUUUCUUUCAAAACAGGAAUGACAAAGAUCAACAGUUUCGCUGGUGAAAGUUAUGCUGAAGCAUGAAAAUGUUCUGCCUCGUGCUGGAUGUGGUUCCAUGAAUACUGGUUGCCUUCUUGCAGCUGGUCCAGGCUGUUACUACUAUUGGCAUCAUCAGAGAGAUGGAAGAGGCAUGGAAGAGUUAAUAAGCCGAUGGAAUGAGGAAUGAACUAAUGUUGGCAAAGACAUGGCUGCUAAUUCAAGGAGAUCACAACGUUUGGAUCUUGUGUGUUACUUUACCAUUCUGCUGUCCAAGAGACUAAUUCUUUAAGUUUUCAAAUUAUACAUUAUUCCCACACUCAGUCUAAGAGGGAGAGCUUCCAGUUAUGUCAACAGGCAAACAGUAACUUGGAAAUAGUGAAAAAAUAACUCCCUGGUUUUGCAAAGUUUUCUACUUAAAGAUCUGGAUAGGAAAUGUAGAUAUUAGAUUUGAACAUGAAUUGAAGCAGCAACUUGAGUUUAGGGCCUUUAAUUGAGCUACAGGAAUAAGAUUGCUUUAUUUAAAACAAAUAAUUUUUGCCUUC
Molecule: long non-coding RNA, 572 nt
Organism: Carcharodon carcharias (great white shark)
Lineage: Eukaryota; Metazoa; Chordata; Chondrichthyes; Lamniformes; Lamnidae
Exons: 3
Source: RefSeq, a predicted model, not a curated record